This 292-nucleotide ribosomal RNA is filed under the name uncultured bacterium. Its description in RNAcentral is "partial 16S ribosomal RNA". It matches the Rfam family "Bacterial small subunit ribosomal RNA", at positions 505 to 796 of the family's 1533-position model. The record is from RNAcentral.
GUGUCAGCAGCCGCGGUAAGACGAAGGAUGCAAGCGUUAUCCGGAUUCAUUGGGUUUAAAGGGAGCGUAGGUGGCCUUAUAAGUCAGUGGUGAAAUCUCUGGGCUUAACCCAGAAAUUGCCAUUGAUACUGUAGGGCUUGAGUAUAGAUGCCGUUGGCGGAAUAUGACAUGUAGUGGUGAAAUACAUAGAGAUGUCAUAGAACACCGAUUGCGAAGGCAGCUAACGAAACUAUAACUGACACUGAGGCUCGAAAGUGUGGGGAUCAAACAGGAUUAGAUACCCUGGUAGUCC